CGGAUGGGUGAGUAGCGCGUGGGUAACCUACCUAUAAGACUGGGAUAACUUCGGGAAACCGGAGCUAAUACCGGAUAAUAUUUCGAACCGCAUGGUUCGAUAGUGAGAGAUGGUUUUGCUAUCACUUAUAGAUGGACCCGCGCCGUAUUAGCUAGUUGGUAAGGUAACGGCUUACCAAGGCGACGAUACGUAGCCGACCUGAGAGGGUGAUCGGCCACACUGGAACUGAGACACGGUCCAGACUCCUACGGGAGGCAGCAGCG
RNAcentral lists this ribosomal RNA (263 nucleotides) under uncultured Staphylococcus sp. RNAcentral's name for it is "partial 16S ribosomal RNA". It matches the Rfam family "Bacterial small subunit ribosomal RNA", at positions 99 to 356 of the family's 1533-position model. The record is from RNAcentral. Lineage: Bacteria; Bacillati; Bacillota; Bacilli; Caryophanales; Staphylococcaceae.